GCCCGCUCAGAAACUCAAAUGAAGUUGACGGGGGCCCGCACAAGCGGUGGAGUAUGUGGUUUAAUUCGAUGCAACGCGAAGAACCUUACCUGGUCUUGACAUCCCGGAGACCCUUAGGAAACUAGGGGGUGCUUCCAUCUGGAAGAAUCUGGAGACAGGUGCUGCAUGGCUGUCGUCAGCUCGUGUCGUGAGAUGUUGGGUUAAGUCCCGCAACGAGCGCAACCCUUGCCUUUAGUUGCCAGCAGUUCGGCUGGGCACUCUAAAGGGACUGCCGGUGUUAAACCGGAGGAAGGUGGGGAUGACGUCAAGUCCUCAUGGCCUUUAUGACCAGGGCUACACACGUACUACAAUGGCCGAUACAAAGGGCAGCGACACUGCGAGGUGAAGCCAAUCCCGUAAAAUCGGUCUCAGUCCGGAUUGGAGUCUGCAACUCGACUCCAUGAAGUUGGAAUCGCUAGUAAUCGUGGAUCAGCAUGCCACGGUGAAUACGUUCCCGGGCCUU
Molecule: ribosomal RNA, 502 nt
Filed under: uncultured Desulfobulbus sp.
Lineage: Bacteria; Pseudomonadati; Thermodesulfobacteriota; Desulfobulbia; Desulfobulbales; Desulfobulbaceae
Description: bacterial SSU rRNA
Rfam family: Bacterial small subunit ribosomal RNA
Source: RNAcentral